GCAAGUGUGACGUCACGGAUCCAAAUCCCCAGCUCCCAAUGUAUACUGUAAUGAUAACAGCCAAUGUUCACGGUUGGAUUGUAAAACGCCUGCUAAGGUUACGAAGACACGGAACACAUCGUUGAAAAGACGAAACCACGCGGAUUCAUCUGCAUUUUAAAGUGCAUGUAGAGGAUCAGGAGGUGACGGACAGCAGGUGUACAUGUGCUGUUGGUCUAGCCAAGUGCCACCACAUUGCAGCCCUCCUCAUUUGGGCGGAGAAGAACAUGACCCGGACGGAUGUGGAGUGUGUGUGGAGAAGGCCUACAGCACCCAAAACAGAGGACGUUGUGGCCAAGAGGCUGUCUGUGAUGGCACCUUCGACAUCAAAAGCUGGAAUUAAGCGCCCAGUGACCGAAGAAGACAAAGGCUGGACAAGGCAGUCUUUGGCGCAAUUUGGGCGUUUCACAGGUCUGGGCUUUAUUUUAGCCCCAG
Molecule: long non-coding RNA, 474 nt
Organism: Engraulis encrasicolus (European anchovy)
Lineage: Eukaryota; Metazoa; Chordata; Actinopteri; Clupeiformes; Engraulidae
Exons: 3
Source: RefSeq, a predicted model, not a curated record